UGUCAAGAAAUGCAAAGGGAAGACCAGGGAAAGGAGAACAUUAGGUAACUGCCAGGUGAAUAAGGCUACUUGUGUUGGUAACUUAUCUCCACCAUAGCGUGGGAUGUGUCUCAUCCACUGGAAAGCUGAGAAGUGCAUCAUAAUUAUAGAGAUUGUGACCUGAAGUUCUGCUUUACCUGUGGAAACACUGUACGGAGAGGACAGAAGUAAAGGGCAGGUAUGGUCAUACCCACACCGCAUAAAACCACAGAAACAGAGUAUUCCUACCUUCCCUGUGUGUUUUCCAGCUUGGUCUCAACCCUGCCUGUGGUGAGCCCGAAAGCUUGAAAGCAGGAAUCCACUGUGCACCACCGUGUUUGCAGGGUGGGUGAUGAGUGGACUGUGUCUGAAAUGUGCCAUCAGAUCACCAAGAGGGUAGGGCAGAUGCACCCAAAGGGAAUGCGUGCUGUGGGGUGGCAGCUGAGUAAAUCAUCAUAACAGUGGGUAAAUAACAAUAGGAGUAUGACCGCAAGGUUACAGUUUGUAAUAAAUGCAGUUUUUGACUGAGUUGGUUCAAAUGGGUUUAAGAUGGUGGUGUGGUUUGUUUUUUUUUUUAUAAUGCCUGUUUGAAUUUUAACUUG
Molecule: long non-coding RNA, 620 nt
Organism: Falco peregrinus (peregrine falcon)
Lineage: Eukaryota; Metazoa; Chordata; Aves; Falconiformes; Falconidae
Exons: 3
Source: RefSeq, a predicted model, not a curated record